AGAUUGAACGCUGGCGGCAGGCCUAACACAUGCAAGUCGAGCGGCAGCACGGGUACUUGUACCUGGUGGCGAGCGGCGGACGGGUGAGUAAUGCCUAGGAAUCUGCCUGGUAGUGGGGGAUAACGCUCGGAAACGGACGCUAAUACCGCAUACGUCCUACGGGAGAAAGCAGGGGACCUUCGGGCCUUGCGCUAUCAGAUGAGCCUAGGUCGGAUUAGCUAGUUGGUGGGGUAAUGGCUCACCAAGGCGACGAUCCGUAACUGGUCUGAGAGGAUGAUCAGUCACACUGGAACUGAGACACGGCCCAGACUCCUACGGGAGCAGCAGUGGGAAUA
RNAcentral lists this ribosomal RNA (335 nucleotides) under uncultured soil bacterium. RNAcentral's name for it is "bacterial SSU rRNA". It matches the Rfam family "Bacterial small subunit ribosomal RNA", at positions 26 to 363 of the family's 1533-position model. The record is from RNAcentral.